Molecule: ribosomal RNA, 1341 nt
Filed under: metagenome
Description: bacterial LSU rRNA
Rfam family: Bacterial large subunit ribosomal RNA
Source: RNAcentral
GUAGAACGCUAGUGAUGCCAUACUUCCGAGAAAAGCUCGUACACCUCUUAUGUUUACAUAAGAUCCAACAUUUAAAUGACCUGUACCUGAAACCGACACAGGUAGGUAAGUAGAGAAUACUAAGGGGCGCGAGAGAACUCUCUCUAAGGAACUCGGCAAACUGGCCCCGUAACUUCGGAAGAAGGGGCGCCUCUGUAAAAAGAGGUCGCAGUGUCAGGCUCUGGCGACUGUUUAUCAAAAACACAGGUCUUCGCAAAGCCGUAAGGCAAAGUAUGAGGGCUGACGCCUGCCCAGUGCUGGAAGGUGAAGGAAGUUGGUUAUUAACUUAGGUUGAGAAGCUGACGACCGAAGCCCCAGUGAACGGCGGCCGUAACAAUGACGGUCCUAAGGUAGCGUAACCCACUGUCGGGUAAGUUCCGACCUGCAUGAAUGGCGUAACGAUCUGAGCGCUGUCUCGGAGAGAGGCUCGGUGAAAUAGACUUAUCCGUGAAGAUGCGGAUUAAAUGUACUUGGACAGAAAGACCCUAUGAAGCUUGAUCGUAAUCUGCAAUUGGGUUCGGGCUUUUCUUGCGCAGCCUAGGUGGGAGGCGUUGAAGAUUUCCUUCUGGGGAAGUUGGAGCCAUCAGUGAGAGACCACUCUGGGAAGGCUAGAAUCCUAAUGGUGAUCCUUGAAUCAGGACACUUGACAGUUUCAGAUGCACGAUUUUUCUGGGGCGGAAGCCUCAUAAAAAGUAACUGAGGCGCGCAAAGGUUCCCUCAGUCUGGAUGGAAAUCAGACGUGGAGUGUAAAGGCAAAAGGGAGCUUGACUGUAAGACCUACAAGUCAAACAGGGGCUAAAGCCGGCCUUAGUGAUCCGACGGUGCCGAGUGGAAGGGCCGUCGCUCAACGGAUAAAAGUUACUCUAGGAUAACAGGCUAAUCUUCUCCAAGAGUCCACAUCGACGAGGGGGUUUGGCACCUCGAUGUCGGCUCAUCACAUCCUGGGGCUGUAGUAGGUCCCAAGGGUUGGGCUUUCGCCCAUUAAAGUGGUACGUGAGCUGGGUUCAAAACGUCGUGAGACAGUUUGGUCCAUAUCCGGUACAUUCGUUAGAGCAUUGAGAGGAGAUAACGUUAGUACGAGAGGAUUACGUUGUACCUGCCUAUAGUAUACCAGUUCUUCUUCCAAGGGGAAACGCUGGGUAGCCACGCAGGGAGUGGAUAAACGCUGAAAGCAUCUAAGCGUGAAGCCCACCUCAAGAUGAGUGCUCUCUUAAGGUCGCGGCAAGACCAGCCGUUAUAUAGGUAUUAGGUGUAAGGUCAGUAAUGAUUUUAGCUAAGAUAUACUAAAGACCGAUUGAUUUU